RNAcentral lists this ribosomal RNA (253 nucleotides) under uncultured bacterium. RNAcentral's name for it is "partial 16S ribosomal RNA". It matches the Rfam family "Bacterial small subunit ribosomal RNA", at positions 524 to 776 of the family's 1533-position model. The record is from RNAcentral.
UACGUAGGGGGCAAGCGUUGUCCGGAUUUAUUGGGCGUAAAGCGCUCGCAGGUGGUUCAUUGCGUCGUGCGUGAAAGACCCCGGCUCAACUGGGGAGGGUCGUGCGAAACGAGUGAACUAGAGGCCAGUAGGGGGAUGCGGAAUUCCGGGUGUAGUGGUGGAAUGCGUAGAGAUCCGGAGGAACACCAGCGGCGAAGGCGGCAUCCUGGACUGGUCCUGACACUCAGGAGCGAAAGCGUGGGGAGCGAUCCGG